GACGAACGCUGGCGGCGUGCUUAACACAUGCAAGUCGAACGGAAAGGCCCUGCUUCUGUGGGGUGCUCGAGUGGCGAACGGGUGAGUAACACGUGAGUAACCUGCCCUUGACUUUGGGAUAACUUCAGGAAACUGGGGCUAAUACCGGAUAGGAGCUCCUGCUGCAUGGUGGGGGUUUGAAAGUUUCGGCGGUUGGGGAUGGACUCGCGGCUUAUCAGCUUGUUGGUGGGGUAGUGGCUUACCAAGGCUUUGACGGGUAGCCGGCCUGAGAGGGUGACCGGCCACAUUGGGACUGAGAUACGGCCCAGACUCCUACGGGAGGCAGCAGUGGGGAAUAUUGCACAAUGGGCGGAAGCCUGAUGCAGCAACGCCGCGUGCGGGAUGACGGCCUUCGGGUUGUAAACCGCUUUCGCCUGUGACGAAGCGUGAGUGACGGUAAUGGGUAAAGAAGCACCGGCUAACUACGUG
RNAcentral lists this ribosomal RNA (468 nucleotides) under uncultured bacterium. Its description in RNAcentral is "partial 16S ribosomal RNA". It matches the Rfam family "Bacterial small subunit ribosomal RNA", at positions 28 to 507 of the family's 1533-position model. The record is from RNAcentral.